This 500-nucleotide ribosomal RNA is filed under the name uncultured bacterium. RNAcentral's name for it is "bacterial SSU rRNA". It matches the Rfam family "Bacterial small subunit ribosomal RNA", at positions 29 to 523 of the family's 1533-position model. The record is from RNAcentral.
AUUGAACGCUGGCGGCAUGCUUCACACAUGCAAGUCGAACGGCAGCACGGGGGCAACCCUGGUGGCGAGUGGCGAACGGGUGAGUAACACAUCGGAACGUACCCAGUUGUGGGGGAUAACCUACCGAAAGGUAGGCUAAUACCGCAUGAGCUCGAAAGAGGAAAGCGGGGGACCGCAAGGCCUCGCGCGACUGGAGCGGCCGAUGUCCGAUUAGCUAGUUGGUGGGGUAAAGGCUUACCAAGGCGACGAUCGGUAGCUGGUCUGAGAGGAUGAUCAGCCACACUGGGACUGAGACACGGCCCAGACUCCUACGGGAGGCAGCAGAGGGGAAUUUUGGACAAUGGGGGCAACCCUGAUCCAGCCAUGCCGCGUGAGUGAAGAAGGCCUUCGGGUUGUAAAGCUCUUUCGGUGGGAACGAAACGGGCGCGGUGAAUAUCCGCGUUCAAUGACGGUACUCACAGAAGAAGCACCGGCUAACUACGUGCCAGCAGCCGCGGUAA